This 417-nucleotide ribosomal RNA is filed under the name uncultured Rhodocyclaceae bacterium. RNAcentral describes it as "partial 16S ribosomal RNA". It matches the Rfam family "Bacterial small subunit ribosomal RNA", at positions 338 to 747 of the family's 1533-position model. The record is from RNAcentral. Lineage: Bacteria; Pseudomonadati; Pseudomonadota; Betaproteobacteria; Rhodocyclales; Rhodocyclaceae.
CCUACGGGAGGCAGCAGUGGGGAAUUUUGGACAAUGGGGGAAACCCUGAUCCAGCCAUUCCGCGUGAGUGAAGAAGGCCUUCGGGUUGUAAAGCUCUUUCGGCAGGAACGAAACGGCGGACUCUAACAUAGUCUGUCAAUGACGGUACCUGAAGAAGAAGCACCGACUAACUACGUGCCAGCAGCCGCGGUAAUACGUAGGGUGCGAGCGUUAAUCGGAAUUACUGGGCGUAAAGCGUGCGCAGGCGGCUUUGUAAGGCGGAUGUAAAAUCCCUGGGCUUAACCUGGGAACUGCGUUCGUGACGGCAAAGCGGGAGUGCGGCAGAGGGGGGUGAAAUUCCUGGUGUAGCGGUAAAAUGCGUAGAGAUCAGGAGGAACACCGAUGGCGAAGGCGGCCCCCGGGGUUGACACUGACGCU